UGACAAUGAGCUUGUGUGUUGUUGGU
Molecule: non-coding RNA, 26 nt
Filed under: Homo sapiens (human)
Lineage: Eukaryota; Metazoa; Chordata; Mammalia; Primates; Hominidae
Source: RNAcentral